AUGCAACUUAGACCAUUUGACUUUACGACCACAAUCGCUAGCCAUGACUGCUCCGCGUCUGGCAGCGCAAAUGUUGCCCAACCGGGUGUACGACAGUGUGGACCAGCCUCUGGCAGCACUACCAUCUCCACGUGCACCAUUUCAACUGUACAUAUAGCCUACUCAACUUAUGACCAAAUCGUGUUACGACCCGUCUGCCGGUCCCAAUCGUGGUCAAAGUUCAAUGGUGGCAGUCAUAUCAAUCAUAGCAUUUUCUGGACAAACCUCAGCCCUAAAGGUGGUGGAGAACCCAAAGGGGAGUUGCUGGAAGCCAUCAAACGUGACUUUGGUUCCUUUGACAAGUUUAAGGAGAGGCUGACGGCUGCGUCUGUUGGUGUCCAAGGCUCAGGUUGGGGUUGGCUUGGUUUCAAUAAGGAACGGGGACACUUACAAAUUGCUGCUUGUCCGAAUCAGGAUCCACUGCAAGGAACAACAGGCCUUAUUCCACUGCUGGGGAUUGAUGUGUGGGAGCAUGCUUAUUACCUUCAGUAUAAAAAUGUCAGACCUGAUUACCUAAAAGCUAUUUGGAAUAUAAUCAACUGGGAGAAUGUAACUGAAAGAUACAUGGCUUGCAAAAAGUAAACCAUUAUUAUACUGA
RNA transcript from Sapajus apella (tufted capuchin), 637 nucleotides. It is a transcript of the gene named superoxide dismutase [Mn], mitochondrial pseudogene, with no coding region annotated. The record is from RefSeq and is a predicted model, not a curated record. NCBI's taxonomy places the organism in Eukaryota, Metazoa, Chordata, Mammalia, Primates, Cebidae. The transcript has 2 exons.